CCUACGGGAGGCAGCAGUGAGGAAUAUUGGUCAAUGGGCUUACGCCUGAACCAACCAAGUCGCGUGAGGGAAGACUGCCCUAUGGGUUGUAAACCUCUUUUGUCAGGGAGCAACGCCGGCUACGUGUAGCCGGACUGAGAGUACCUGAAGAAAAAGCAUCGGCUAACUACGUGCCAGCAGCCGCGGUAAUACGUAGGGUGCGAGCGUUAAUCGGAAUUACUGGGCGUAAAGGGUGUGCAGGCGGCUGAGUAAGACAGAUGUGAAAUCCCCGGGCUUAACCUGGGAACCGCAUAUGUGACUGCUUGGCUAGAGUGCGUCAGAGGGAGGUGGAAUUCCACGUGUAGCAGUGAAAUGCGUAGAUAUGUGGAAGAACACCGAUGGCGAAGGCAGCCUCCUGGGACGCAACUGACGCUCAUACACGAAAGCGUGGGGAGCAAACAGGAUUAGAUACCCCUGUAGUC
This 461-nucleotide ribosomal RNA is filed under the name uncultured bacterium. RNAcentral describes it as "partial 16S ribosomal RNA". It matches the Rfam family "Bacterial small subunit ribosomal RNA", at positions 338 to 795 of the family's 1533-position model. The record is from RNAcentral.